AUGGUCAAUGUGCCUAAAACCAGAAGAGCUUUCUGUAAGAAGUGUGGCAAGCAUCAGCCUUACAAAGUGCCCCAGUAUAAGGGCAAGGAUUCCUCCUAUGCCCAGGGGAAGAUGCGCUGUGAUCAGAAGCAGAGUGGUUACGGUGGGCAGACAAAACUGAUUUUCUGGAAGAAGGCUGAAACUACCCAGAUGAUUGUGCUAAGGCUGGAAUGUAGGGAGCCUAACUGCAGAUCCAAGGGGAUGCUAGCCAUUCAGAAAUGCAAACUUUUU
Molecule: long non-coding RNA, 270 nt
Filed under: Homo sapiens (human)
Lineage: Eukaryota; Metazoa; Chordata; Mammalia; Primates; Hominidae
Description: non-protein coding lnc-FUT8-5:1
Source: RNAcentral